RNAcentral lists this ribosomal RNA (423 nucleotides) under uncultured bacterium. Its description in RNAcentral is "bacterial SSU rRNA". It matches the Rfam family "Bacterial small subunit ribosomal RNA", at positions 207 to 622 of the family's 1533-position model. The record is from RNAcentral.
AAGACCUUGCACUUUUGGAGCGGCCGAUGUCUGAUUAGCUAGUUGGUGGGGUAAAGGCCUACCAAAGCUUCGAUCAGUAGCUGGUCUGAGAGGACGGCCAGCCACACUGGGACUGAGACACGGCCCAGACUCCUACGGGAGGCAGCAGUGGGGAAUUUUGGACAAUGGGCGCAAGCCUGAUCCAGCCAUGCCGCGUGAGUGAAGAAGGCCUUCGGGUUGUAAAGCUCUUUCAGCCGGGAAGAAAAGGCUGCGACUAAUAAUCGCAGUUCAUGACGGUACCGGAAGAAGAAGCACCGGCUAACUACGUGCCAGCAGCCGCGGUAAUACGUAGGGUGCGAGCGUUAAUCGGAAUUACUGGGCGUAAAGGGUGCGCAGGCGUUUUUGUAAGUCAGAUGUGAAAUCCCCGGGCUUAACCUGGGAACU